GCGAAGGCGACUUUCUGGUCUGUAACUGACGCUGAGGCGCGAAAGCGUGGGGAGCAAACAGGAUUAGAUACCCUGGUAGUCCAUGCCGUAAACGUUGGGCACUAGGUGUGGGGGACAUUCCACGUUUUCCGCGCCGUAGCUAACGCAUUAAGUGCCCCGCCUGGGGAGUACGGCCGCAAGGCUAAAACUCAAAGAAAUUGACGGGAGCCCGCACCGAAACAGUGCUUUACCCCUAAACUUCAUCUCGACCGCUGUGCCUCAACACAUUUCGGGGAGAACCAGCUAGCUCCGGGUUCGAUUGGCAUUUCACC
RNAcentral lists this ribosomal RNA (311 nucleotides) under uncultured bacterium. RNAcentral's name for it is "bacterial SSU rRNA". It matches the Rfam family "Bacterial small subunit ribosomal RNA", at positions 715 to 997 of the family's 1533-position model. The record is from RNAcentral.